ACGUAGGUGGCAAGCGUUGUCCGGAUUUACUGGGUGUAAAGGGCGCGUAGGCGGGGCUGCAAGUCAGAUGUGAAAUCUGAGGGCUUAACCCUCAAACUGCAUUUGAAACUGUAGUUCUUGAGUAUCGGAGAGGCAGGCGGAAUUCCUAGUGUAGCGGUGAAAUGCGUAGAUAUUAGGAGGAACACCAGUGGCGAAGGCGGCCUGCUGGACGACAACUGACGCUGAUGCGCGAAAGCGUGGGGAGCAAACA
Molecule: ribosomal RNA, 250 nt
Filed under: uncultured bacterium
Lineage: Bacteria
Description: partial 16S ribosomal RNA
Rfam family: Bacterial small subunit ribosomal RNA
Source: RNAcentral